Molecule: ribosomal RNA, 372 nt
Filed under: uncultured bacterium
Lineage: Bacteria
Description: bacterial SSU rRNA
Rfam family: Bacterial small subunit ribosomal RNA
Source: RNAcentral
GUAGGGUGCGAGCGUUAAUCGGAAUUACUGGGCGUAAAGCGUGCGCAGGCGGUUUUGUAAGCCAGAUGUGAAAUCCCCGGGCUUAACCUGGGAACUGCAUUUGGGACUGCAAGGCUUGAGUGCGGCAGAGGAGACUGGAAUUCCUGGUGUAGCAGUGAAAUGCGUAGAUAUCAGGAGGAAUACCGAUGGCGAAGGCAGGUCUCUGGGCUGACACUGACGCUCAUGCACGAAAGCGUGGGGAGCAAACAGGAUUAGAUACCCUGGUAGUCCACGCCCUAAACGAUGUCGACUGGUUGUUGGGGGUUUGACACUCUCAGUAACGAAGCUAACGCGUGAAGUCGACCGCCUGGGGAGUACGGCCGCAAGGUUAAA